CCUACGGGAGGCUGCAGUGGGGGAUAUUGCACAAUGGGGGAAACCCUGAUGCAGCGACGCCGCGUGGGCGAAGAAGUAUUUCGGUAUGUAAAGCCCUAUCAGCAGGGAAGAAGAAAUGACGGUACCUGAGUAAGAAGCACCGGCUAAAUACGUGCCAGCAGCAGCGGUAAUACGGAUGGUGCAAGCGUUAUCCGGAUUUACUGGGUGUAAAGGGAGCGCAGGCGGCACGGCAAGCCUGAUGUGAAAUCCCGCGGCCCAACCGCGGGACUGCAUUGGGAACUGCCGGGCUGGAGUGCGGGAGAGGUAGGCGGAAUUCCUAGUGUAGCGGUGAAAUGCGUAGAUAUUAGGAGGAACACCAGUGGCGAAGGCAGCCUACUGGACGGUGACUGACGCUGAGGCUCGAAAGCGUGGGGAGCGAACAGGAUUAGAUACCCUAGUAGUC
This 442-nucleotide ribosomal RNA is filed under the name uncultured bacterium. RNAcentral describes it as "partial 16S ribosomal RNA". It matches the Rfam family "Bacterial small subunit ribosomal RNA", at positions 338 to 795 of the family's 1533-position model. The record is from RNAcentral.